Long non-coding RNA from Helianthus annuus (common sunflower), 556 nucleotides. RefSeq lists it as uncharacterized. The record is from RefSeq and is a predicted model, not a curated record. Lineage: Eukaryota; Viridiplantae; Streptophyta; Magnoliopsida; Asterales; Asteraceae. The transcript is spliced from 2 exons.
CAUUUGUGUUUCGAGUCCAUAAAAUCUUGUGUUAAGCAACUAAGACCAAAGGGUAUGGGGUCGUCAUCUAUCCGUCCCGGCUCGUCGCAGGCGUCCCACACCGCUCCCUCCUUGGCGUCGCGUCUCCGGCGGCUUCUGCAAGACGGAGGCGACGAGCUAUUUGGUAGGCUGAGUUUUCAUUGGAAAUCCAAGUUCAAAGUACUCCACUCACCACUCUUCAUGUUCUUCCCUCUCAGGCGACUCCAUAGCCUGCGUCACUGACCGGCGAUUCCACGGCCGACAGCCGGUGAUUUCAUUCUCGGUGAUCCAGUUAAACGUUUCAGUUUGCCAGUUACCCCAUUCAUUCGGACGGCGUUUCCUUUAUUCGGCUAGCGAUUCCAUUCUAUCGGGUACGAUUUCAUCACAGGAAUAAUUUAAUUUCUCUUCAUCCUGGUAAUUGGGUUUAAAUGAGUGGGUAGCGAGGCCAGGUUUUGUAAGUUUAAAAGCGUUCUUAUACUAUGUUUAUGUGACAAUUUGAUUUAUAUUUAAGAUUGAUUUUUCAAUUUGUUUUGGAUGA